UAAUACGUAGGUGGCAAGCGUUGUCCGGAAUUAUUGGGCGUAAAGCGCGCGCAGGCGGUCUUUUAAGUCUGAUGUGAAAGCCCACGGCUCAACCGUGGAGGGUCAUUGGAAACUGGAAGACUUGAGUGCAGAAGAGGAGAGUGGAAUUCCACGUGUAGCGGUGAAAUGCGUAGAGAUGUGGAGGAACACCAGUGGCGAAGGCGACUCUCUGGUCUGUAACUGACGCUGAGGCGCGAAAGCGUGGGGAGCAAACAGGAUUAGAUACCCUGGUAGUCCACGCCGUAAACGAUGAGUGCUAAGUGUUAGAGGGUUUCCGCUCUUUAGUGCUGCAGCUAACGCAUUAAGCACUCCGCCUGGGGAGUACGACCGCAAGGUUGAA
Molecule: ribosomal RNA, 379 nt
Filed under: uncultured bacterium
Lineage: Bacteria
Description: bacterial SSU rRNA
Rfam family: Bacterial small subunit ribosomal RNA
Source: RNAcentral